Molecule: small RNA, 145 nt
Filed under: Klebsiella sp. S1
Lineage: Bacteria; Pseudomonadati; Pseudomonadota; Gammaproteobacteria; Enterobacterales; Enterobacteriaceae
Description: RtT RNA
Source: RNAcentral
GCCCGAAGGGCGAGGCGAAGGCGAGUCAUCCUGCACGACCCACCAAUUUCAGCAUUUAACUCAGAUGCUGAACGUGAAGGAUAACGUUGCGACAGCAACGGCCCGAAGGGCGAGGCGAAGUCGAGUCAUCCUGCACGACCCACCA